AGCUCCAAUAGCGUAUAUUAAAGUUGUUGCAGUUAAAAAGCUCGUAGUUGGAUUUGGGAUUGUGAUUGGGUGGUCGGCCGCGAGGUCUGUUACUGCCCACUCACAUCAUUACAUUCUCGCAGACCUGUCGUGUCCUUCACUGGGCGCGGCACGGGAUUCGGGACGUUUACUUUGAAAAAAUUAGAGUGUUCAAAGCGGGCUACUACAGCCGGAAUACAUGAGCAUGGAAUAAUGGAAUAGGACCGCGGUUCUAUUUUGUUGGUUUCUACGACCGCAGUAAUGAUUAAGAGGGACAAUUGGGGGCAUCCGUAUUUCGUUGUCAGAGGUGAAAUUCUUGGAUUUACGAAAGACGAACAACUGCGAAAGCAUUUGCCAAGAGUGUUUUCA
RNAcentral lists this ribosomal RNA (387 nucleotides) under uncultured eukaryote. RNAcentral describes it as "SSU rRNA". It matches the Rfam family "Eukaryotic small subunit ribosomal RNA", at positions 587 to 972 of the family's 1831-position model. The record is from RNAcentral.